UACGGAGGGUGCGAGCGUUAUCCGGAAUUACUGGGUUUAAAGGGUGCGUAGGCGGCGCAGUAAGUCAGGAGUGAAAGUUUGCGGCUCAACCGUAAAAUUGCUUUUGAUACUGCUGUGCUGGAAUUAGGAUGAGGUCAGCGGAAUGUGGCAUGUAGCGGUGAAAUGCAUAGAUAUGCCAUAGAACACCAAUUGCGAAGGCAGCUGGCUAGACCUGGAUUGACGCUGAGGCACGAAAGCGUGGGGAGCGAACAGG
This 253-nucleotide ribosomal RNA is filed under the name uncultured bacterium. RNAcentral describes it as "partial 16S ribosomal RNA". It matches the Rfam family "Bacterial small subunit ribosomal RNA", at positions 524 to 776 of the family's 1533-position model. The record is from RNAcentral.